UGGUCCUACGGGGGGCAGCAGUGGGGAAUAUUGCACAAUGGGGGAAACCCUGAUGCAGCGACGCCGCGUGGGCGACGAAGCGCUCCGGCGCGUAAAGCCCUGUCAGCAGGGAAGAACAAAGACAGUACCUGACCAAGAAGCCCCGGCUAACUACGUGCCAGCAGCCGCGGUAAUACGUAGGGGGCAAGCGUUAUCCGGAUUCACUGGGCGUAAAGGGAGCGCAGGCGGCACGGCAAGUCUGGUGUGAAAGCACGGGGCGCAACCCCGGGACGGCAUUGGAAAUUGCAGGGCUGGAGUGCCGGAGG
RNAcentral lists this ribosomal RNA (305 nucleotides) under uncultured bacterium. RNAcentral describes it as "bacterial SSU rRNA". It matches the Rfam family "Bacterial small subunit ribosomal RNA", at positions 334 to 655 of the family's 1533-position model. The record is from RNAcentral.